AUUGAACGCUGGCGGCAGGCCUAACACAUGCAAGUCGAGCGGAUGAAGGGAGCUUGCUCCUGGCUUCAGCGGCGGACGGGUGAGUAAUGCCUAGGAAUCUGCCUGGUAGUGGGGGAUAACGUCCGGAAACGGGCGCUAAUACCGCAUACGUCCAGAGGGAGAAAGUGGGGGAUCUUCGGACCUCACGCUAUCAGAUGAGCCUAGGUCGGAUUAGCUAGUUGGUGGGGUAAAGGCCUACCAAGGCGACGAUCCGUAACUGGUCUGAGAGGAUGAUCAGUCACACUGGAACUGAGACACGGUCCAGACUCCUACGGGAGGCAGCAGUGGGGAAUAUUGGACAAUGGGCGAAAGCCUGAUCCAGCCAUGCCGCGUGUGUGAAGAAGGUCUUCGGAUUGUAAAGCACUGUAAGUUGGGAGGAAGGGCAGUAAGUUAAUACCUUGCUGUUUUGACGUUACCAACAGAAUAAGCACCGGCUAACUUCGUG
RNAcentral lists this ribosomal RNA (484 nucleotides) under uncultured bacterium. RNAcentral's name for it is "partial 16S ribosomal RNA". It matches the Rfam family "Bacterial small subunit ribosomal RNA", at positions 30 to 507 of the family's 1533-position model. The record is from RNAcentral.